Molecule: long non-coding RNA, 324 nt
Organism: Vollenhovia emeryi
Lineage: Eukaryota; Metazoa; Arthropoda; Insecta; Hymenoptera; Formicidae
Exons: 3
Source: RefSeq, a predicted model, not a curated record
ACUUCUGCAUCAUCCAAACGGUAAGGAGUUACUCAAUAAUAUUAAAAAUACAGAUUAUCCAUUUGGUGAAGCAGACAGAAGGAGUUUGGUUCGUAUAGUCAUAAACGAACUCAAGACAUUACAUGAUACACUUUAUCCACCAGAAGAAGCUAAAAUUGCAUUAGCAAGUGCAAUAGUCACUGAAUUUCCACGCUUAACAGCUAAUAGAGAAAAUAAUAAUAAACAAAAAGGAUAUGAACAUUACUACAGUCCAUUGACCAAGCAAGGUUUUUUAGAAUAUAGAUUAUGGACUAUUCGCAAAUCAGCUACUCCAUCAAAGAAAAC